GACGAACGCUGGCGGCGUGCCUAAUACAUGCAAGUAGAACGCUGAAGAGAGGAGCUUGCUCUUCUUGGAUGAGUUGCGAACGGGUGAGUAACGCGUAGGUAACCUGCCUUGUAGCGGGGGAUAACUAUUGGAAACGAUAGCUAAUACCGCAUAACAAUGGAUGACACAUGUCAUUUAUUUGAAAGGGGCAAUUGCUCCACUACAAGAUGGACCUGCGUUGUAUUAGCUAGUAGGUGAGGUAACGGCUCACCUAGGCGACGAUACAUAGCCGACCUGAGAGGGUGAUCGGCCACACUGGGACUGAGACACGGCCCAGACUCCUACGGGAGGCAGCAGUAGGGAAUCUUCGGCAAUGGGGGCAACCCUGACCGAGCAACGCCGCGUGAGUGAAGAAGGUUUUCGGAUCGUAAAGCUCUGUUGUAAGUCAAGAACGAGUGUGAGAGUGGAAAGUUCACACUGUGACGGUAGCUUAACAGAAAGGGACGGCUAACUACGUG
This 497-nucleotide ribosomal RNA is filed under the name uncultured bacterium. RNAcentral's name for it is "partial 16S ribosomal RNA". It matches the Rfam family "Bacterial small subunit ribosomal RNA", at positions 28 to 507 of the family's 1533-position model. The record is from RNAcentral.